This 1524-nucleotide long non-coding RNA is filed under the name Nicotiana benthamiana. Its description in RNAcentral is "long non-coding RNA (NBEN_LNC041984)". Lineage: Eukaryota; Viridiplantae; Streptophyta; Magnoliopsida; Solanales; Solanaceae. The record is from RNAcentral.
CUCUCCACCUCGGUAUACUCCAUCAUCUAUUCACUUCUGAACUACACGUGGUCUGAUUCCUUUAUAGCCAAGGAUAUGUAGGCAGCUCAGAUGCCAGGGCUCGGCCACAUUCUCCUUUCUUUUAGCUUUUGGUCUUUUUAAAUAAGGGUCGGGUCAAAAAACCUGUCUAGUCGUUCUUUGUCUAAAAAUACUUUGUAUUUUCAAUCAAAGAGGGGCAGCUGUAGACAUGUGAUUUUUGACACUCCCCAAGAUUUUUCAUAUUUUAGUAUUUAAAUAUUUAAUUUAUGUCUAAUAUAGUUAUUUCAAUAAAUUUUGGCUCUUUUACAUUACUUUAAGAACAAAAAUCAAAAAUUACAAAAAUAGUUCCAUAUUUUUCUAGUUAAUUCACGUAUUAGAUAUUUUUAGGAGGAUAUAUUACUUUAACCCUAUUUUUAUUCUAAUAUAAUCCUUGAAAAUACCAAAAAUAGUUCCAACUUUAAUUUUUAGUUUUAUUUUUAAUAAAAAUAACUUAUUAAAAUUAAUGUAGAGUUUGUAUAGGUAUUAAAUUUGAAUUUUCAGUCCUUUUUGGCCCAAUUUUAUAAAUUUCGGAGUCCAAUUCAAAUAUGAGCCCAAAAUUAAACAAACCAACCCAGUACCCUAUGUAACCCAUCAGAUUUUCCUUCUUUGGGGAAUUUAAAAACGAAGAUCUAGAAAAACCCUAAAAGAGAAGGGUCUUCUUCUUACACAAGAUAAAACAAAAACAAAAAAUCCUAGGACCCUAAAAACAAGAGACAACCGCUACAAACGACUACCUACCUUCAGCCGUAGAACACAAACCCAUUUAUCUCCAUCGCUAGACGGAACCAAAUCUGACCGGAAUCAUGUAAUUCUGAUGACUCUCCAGUGAAUCCGGAGAAGCAGGUGUUCGAACCAGCAACUCUCGUCCUCUAUUCAUCUUUUAAGAAUAGCAGCAAACCCCAAAACUCUUGUCGUCUUUUCAAAUCUUGGGUUGUCAUUACUCAGUCUUUAAUUUUGGGGUUAGAUUUUGAAAUUUUGUCUAGUUUCAGGGGUUCUUGUUCUCGGUUAUCGGUUCUAGUUCGAUGAGGGCCUGUGCUGAGGCUCUCAGAUAUGAUUGAGGUCCGUUCGAGAUGGUCUGUUGGUUUUGGUCGGGGUUAAAUCAAGUCCGAGUUUGUUUUUUUGAGUUCGUCGAGGUCUGGUCAAGGUUCAGCCGUGUUUUGCUAUUGUUCGACGAGCUGUCCGCCUGUAAUUACGAAAGGUUCUGUUCAAGUUUUCUCCUAUGCAUUUUCUGUUUGGCCGAUUGUAUUUCCGACUUAAGCCUAUAUUGUCAAUCAAAGUUUUUUGAGAUGACUAAGGUGCCGAUUCGAGUUUCCAUUCGCGGUACGUUACAUUUUUGAGAUCAAAAUAGUGAAGCAAUCAAUUUUCCGGCUACAUUGGUCUAAUUCUCUCAUCCUUUAUCCAUUUUAUUCAAAGCUUCAUGUUAAAUGUUUGUUUGGUGAUAUGAUUAUGUUAUUAUGUGAUUAUUCU